GACGAACGCUGGCGGCGUGCUUAACACAUGCAAGUCGAACGGUGAAGCUCCAGCUUGCUGGAGUGGAUCAGUGGCGAACGGGUGAGUAACACGUGAGCAACCUGCCCCUGACUCUGGAAUAAGCGCUGGAAACGGCGUCUAAUACUGGAUACGAGAAGGGUCCGCAUGGGCACUUUCUGGAAAGUUUUUCGGUUGGGGAUGGGCUCGCGGCCUAUCAGCUUGUUGGUGAGGUAAUGGCUCACCAAGGCGACGACGGGUAGCCGGCCUGAGAGGGCGACCGGCCACACUGGGACUGAGACACGGCCCAGACUCCUACGGGAGGCAGCAGUGGGGAAUAUUGCACAAUGGGCGAAAGCCUGAUGCAGCGACGCCGCGUGAGGGAUGACGGACUUCGGGUUGUAAACCUCUUUCAGCAGGGAAGAAGCGAAAGUGACGGUACCUGCAGAAGAAGCACCGGCUAACUACGUG
This 468-nucleotide ribosomal RNA is filed under the name uncultured bacterium. RNAcentral describes it as "partial 16S ribosomal RNA". It matches the Rfam family "Bacterial small subunit ribosomal RNA", at positions 28 to 507 of the family's 1533-position model. The record is from RNAcentral.